UACGUAGGGUGCGAGCGUUGUCCGGAAUUAUUGGGCGUAAAGAGCUUGUAGGCGGUUUGUCGCGUCUGCUGUGAAAUCUCAAGGCUCAACCUUGAGCUUGCAGUGGGUACGGGCAGACUAGAGUGUGGUAGGGGAGACUGGAAUUCCGGGUGUAGCGGUGGAAUGCGUAGAGAUCCGGAAGAACACCGGUGGCGAAGGCGGCCUGCUGGGCAGUAGCUGACACUGAGGCGCGACAGCGUGGGGAGCAAACAGG
RNAcentral lists this ribosomal RNA (253 nucleotides) under uncultured bacterium. RNAcentral describes it as "partial 16S ribosomal RNA". It matches the Rfam family "Bacterial small subunit ribosomal RNA", at positions 524 to 776 of the family's 1533-position model. The record is from RNAcentral.